Molecule: ribosomal RNA, 887 nt
Filed under: uncultured archaeon
Lineage: Archaea
Description: bacterial SSU rRNA
Rfam family: Archaeal small subunit ribosomal RNA
Source: RNAcentral
UAGUUGAGCGCUUCGCCAAACGAGGCGCAGCACACAGCUCAGUAACACGUAGCUAAUCUGCCCUUGGGACCGGAACACCCCCGGGAAACUGGGGCUAAUUCUCGAUAGGUGAAGAACUCUGGAAUGAGUCUUUGCCUAAAAGUCGUUAAGGUUAUGCUCUUUGACGACGCCCAAGGAUGAGGCCGCGACCGAUCAGGUUGUUGGUGAGGUAAUGGCUCACCAAGCCUUUUACCGGUGCGGGCCGUGAGAGCGGGGGCCCGGAGAUGGGCACUGAGACAAGGGCCCAGGCCCUACGGGGCGCAGCAGUCGCGAAAACUUUGCAAUACACGAAAGUGUGACAGGGCUAUCCCGAGUGCCAUCCGCUGAGGAAGGCUUUUACCCAGUCUAGAACGCUGGGGGAAUAAGGAGAGGGCAAGUCUGGUGUCAGCCGCCGCGGUAAUACCAGCUCUCCGAGUGGUGUGGAUGUUUAUUGGGCCUAAAGCAUCCGUAGCUGGCUAGGUUAGUCCCCUGUUAAAUCCACCGAAUUAAUCGUUGGAUUGCGGGGGAUACUGCUUGGCUAGGGGACGAGAGAGGCAGACGGUAUUUCCGGGGUAGGGGUGAAAUCCUAUAAUCCCGGGGAGACCACCAGUGGCGAAGGCUGUCUGCUAGAACGCGCCCGACGGUGAGGGAUGAAAGCUGGGGGAGCGAACCGGAUUAGAUACCCGGGUAGUCCCAGCUGUAAACGAUGCAGGCUAGGUGUUUGGACGGCCACGUGCCGUUCUAGUGCCGCAGGGAAGCUGUUAAGCCUGCCGCCUGGGGAGUACGAUCGCAAGAUUGAAACUUAAAGGAAUUGGCGGGGGAGCACCACAAGGGGUGAAGCUUGCGGUUUAAUUGGAUUCAACGCCGGA